Molecule: ribosomal RNA, 105 nt
Filed under: Chinchilla lanigera (long-tailed chinchilla)
Lineage: Eukaryota; Metazoa; Chordata; Mammalia; Rodentia; Chinchillidae
Source: RNAcentral
UUUGUGCCAUACCACCCUGAACACGCCCGAUCUCAUCUGAUCGGGGAAGCUAAGUACCUGGUCAGUACUUGGAGAGGGGAAAGUUUGUGGAUGAAGCAAGUAAAA